UGGGGAAUAUUGGACAAUGGGCGAAAGCCUGAUCCAGCCAUGCCGCGUGAGUGAAGAAGGCCUUCGGGUUGUAAAGCUCUUUUAGUCGGAAAGAAAGAGUUGCAAUGAAUAAUUGUGAUUUAUGACGGUACCGACAGAAAAAGCACCGGCUAACUACGUGCCGGCAGCCGCGGUAAUACGUAGGGUGCGAGCGUUAAUCGGAAUUACUGGGCGUAAAGGGUGCGCAGGCGGUCUUGCAAGUCAGAUGUGAAAGCCCCGGGCUUAACCUGGGAAUUGCGUUUGAAACUACAAGGCUAGAGUGCAGCAGAGGGGAGUGGAAUUCCAUGUGUAGCAGUGAAAUGCGUAGAGAUGUGGAAGAACACCGAUGGCGAAGGCAGCUCCCUGGGUUGACACUGACGCUCAUGCACGAAAGCGUGGGGAGCAAACA
Molecule: ribosomal RNA, 427 nt
Filed under: uncultured beta proteobacterium
Lineage: Bacteria; Pseudomonadati; Pseudomonadota; Betaproteobacteria
Description: bacterial SSU rRNA
Rfam family: Bacterial small subunit ribosomal RNA
Source: RNAcentral